This 114-nucleotide small nucleolar RNA is filed under the name Echinops telfairi (small Madagascar hedgehog). RNAcentral describes it as "Small nucleolar RNA U109 (ENSETEG00000024902.1)". The stretch from base 15 to 114 matches the Rfam family "Small nucleolar RNA U109". The record is from RNAcentral. Lineage: Eukaryota; Metazoa; Chordata; Mammalia; Afrosoricida; Tenrecidae.
UUCCAAAACGUAGUCAGCAUUUAUGUGUACAACAUUUGCUACAUUUCAAAAGGAGCUCUCCAGGCUACCAACCUCACAGUUGAGGUUGAGUAGCAGUGUUUUUCUCCUACAAAA